UCCCAGGUGGUUCAGUGCUAAAAAUUCUGCCUGCAAUGCAGGAGAUUUGGGUUUGAUCCCUGAUUUGGGAA
Molecule: transfer RNA, 71 nt
Filed under: Ovis aries (sheep)
Lineage: Eukaryota; Metazoa; Chordata; Mammalia; Artiodactyla; Bovidae
Rfam family: tRNA
About the family: Transfer RNA (tRNA) molecules are approximately 80 nucleotides in length. Their secondary structure includes four short double-helical elements and three loops (D, anti-codon, and T loops). Further hydrogen bonds mediate the characteristic L-shaped molecular structure. tRNAs have two regions of fundamental functional importance: the anti-codon, which is responsible for specific mRNA codon recognition, and the 3' end, to which the tRNAs corresponding amino acid is attached (by aminoacyl-tRNA synthetases). tRNAs cope with the degeneracy of the genetic code in two manners: having more than one tRNA (with a specific anti-codon) for a particular amino acid; and 'wobble' base-pairing, i.e. permitting non-standard base-pairing at the 3rd anti-codon position.
Source: Rfam by way of RNAcentral